Molecule: small nucleolar RNA, 137 nt
Organism: Tachyglossus aculeatus (Australian echidna)
Lineage: Eukaryota; Metazoa; Chordata; Mammalia; Monotremata; Tachyglossidae
Source: RefSeq, a predicted model, not a curated record
ACCGUCUCAGGGUCGCACCUGGAGAGUUUCCAGUACUCUACCAAUCUCGACUACAGGAGGGAGAGUCAAGCAGAGGCAUAUCAUUCCAUUUCUAGCUUGGGCAGUGGCUAGUGAGUGGAAGGCAAUCUGCUAAAAGU